CCUUCUUUUUCUCUCUUUCCUCUUCCUUCCUGGGCGUAAAGCGUGCGCAGGCGGUUUUGUAAGCCAGAUGUGAAAUCCCCGGGCUUAACCUGGGAAUGGCAUUUGGGACUGCAAGGCUGGAGUGCGGCAGAGGAGACUGGAAUUCCUGGUGUAGCAGUGAAAUGCGUAGAUAUCAGGAGGAAUACCGAUGGCGAAGGCAGGUCUCUGGGCUGACACUGACGCUCAUGCACGAAAGCGUGGGGAGCAAACAGGA
RNAcentral lists this ribosomal RNA (253 nucleotides) under uncultured prokaryote. RNAcentral describes it as "partial 16S ribosomal RNA". The stretch from base 27 to 253 matches the Rfam family "Bacterial small subunit ribosomal RNA", at positions 551 to 777 of the family's 1533-position model. The record is from RNAcentral.